GGCCUUCCUUGUAGUUGGUUUGCAAGGAGGAUUUGCAGGAGAAGUCACUUUGGUUUUGGUGUUCCUCGCAGUUAGUUUGCAAGCAGGUUUUGUAGGAGGGGUUACUUUAGUUUUGGUGCUCCUUAUAGUUGGUUUGCGAGCAGGUUUUGCAGGAGGGAGCAUUUUGGUUUUGGUCGUUGAUCAAGGUAAUGGUUCAUGACUUGCUUGAGGCACCAUGAUUGGGGAUCUGCACAUGGAAUGCAAAUAGAAAUAGGAAAAAUAGAA
Molecule: long non-coding RNA, 264 nt
Filed under: Linum usitatissimum (flax)
Lineage: Eukaryota; Viridiplantae; Streptophyta; Magnoliopsida; Malpighiales; Linaceae
Description: long non-coding RNA (LUSI_LNC006267)
Source: RNAcentral